CGAGGUGUAGCUUAACAAUGAAUAGCAUCUCCCUUACACUGAGAAGGCUUCCGUGCAAACCGGGACACUUCGA
RNAcentral lists this transfer RNA (73 nucleotides) under Choerodon schoenleinii (blackspot tuskfish). Its description in RNAcentral is "tRNA-Val". It matches the Rfam family "tRNA". Rfam says of the family: Transfer RNA (tRNA) molecules are approximately 80 nucleotides in length. Their secondary structure includes four short double-helical elements and three loops (D, anti-codon, and T loops). Further hydrogen bonds mediate the characteristic L-shaped molecular structure. tRNAs have two regions of fundamental functional importance: the anti-codon, which is responsible for specific mRNA codon recognition, and the 3' end, to which the tRNAs corresponding amino acid is attached (by aminoacyl-tRNA synthetases). tRNAs cope with the degeneracy of the genetic code in two manners: having more than one tRNA (with a specific anti-codon) for a particular amino acid; and 'wobble' base-pairing, i.e. permitting non-standard base-pairing at the 3rd anti-codon position. RNAcentral also lists the same sequence under 2 other names. The record is from RNAcentral. Lineage: Eukaryota; Metazoa; Chordata; Actinopteri; Labriformes; Labridae.